This 253-nucleotide ribosomal RNA is filed under the name uncultured bacterium. RNAcentral describes it as "partial 16S ribosomal RNA". It matches the Rfam family "Bacterial small subunit ribosomal RNA", at positions 524 to 776 of the family's 1533-position model. The record is from RNAcentral.
UACGUAGGGUGCAAGCGUUGUCCGGAAUUAUUGGGCGUAAAGAGCUCGUAGGCGGUUUGUUGCGUCGGAUGUGAAAGCCCGGGGCUUAACUCCGGGUCUGCAUUCGAUACGGGCAGGCUAGAGUUCGGUAGGGGAGAUCGGAAUUCCUGGUGUAGCGGUGAAAUGCGCAGGUAUCAGGAGGAACACCGGUGGCGAAGGCGGAUCUCUGGGCCGAUACUGACGCUGAGGAGCGAAAGCGUGGGGAGCGAACAGG